Long non-coding RNA from Penaeus monodon (black tiger shrimp), 351 nucleotides. RefSeq lists it as uncharacterized. Lineage: Eukaryota; Metazoa; Arthropoda; Malacostraca; Decapoda; Penaeidae. The transcript is spliced from 3 exons. The record is from RefSeq and is a predicted model, not a curated record.
GCAAGGUCUUUUGUAGAUGCUGAUCUUACCAAACAGUUUCUUCAGAAUAUUAGAGUGAUUUACUGAAAUAAUUCGGCGCUGCUAAGAUCGAAACGACUACCUGCUUUAGCGCGGUUUAACACUGAACACGAGCAAAAUCUUUUCAGAUGUUAGCUUCUCAAGCAACCGCAUGUGACACUGUUACGAGGUGCAGAGGCCACAUUGCACAGGGCAUGGCUGUUAAUCUUUUCUGUUUACGACUGGAUUAAUCGCGGUCUAAUAAACAUUUGCCUGAUGCAUAUGCGAACGAUUGUAACUCCGGUGGCGAGGCUUACGACCCUCGUGCAUGCGGACAAGGAUGGUUCGGGUAAA